This 1349-nucleotide ribosomal RNA is filed under the name metagenome. RNAcentral's name for it is "bacterial LSU rRNA". It matches the Rfam family "Bacterial large subunit ribosomal RNA", at positions 1564 to 2925 of the family's 2925-position model. The record is from RNAcentral.
UGAGUACGAGCGGCUACGGCCGCGAAGUGGAUGAUGUCAAGCUUCCAAGAAAAGCCCUAUACCCGUUAAGGCAUGAUGGCCUGUACCCGAAACCGACACAGGUGGGGUGGUAGAGAAUACCGAGGGGCGCGAGGUAACUCUCUCUAAGGAACUCGGCAAAAUGGCCCCGUAACUUCGGGAGAAGGGGUGCCACCGCGAGGUGGUCGCAGUGAAGAGGCCCAGGCGACUGUUUACCAAAAACACAGGUCUCCGCUAAGUCGCAAGACGAUGUAUGGGGGCUGACGCCUGCCCAGUGCCGGAAGGUUAAGGAAGCUGGUCAGCGCAAGCGAAGCUGGCGACUGAAGCCCCGGUGAACGGCGGCCGUAACUAUAACGGUCCUAAGGUAGCGAAAUUCCUUGUCGGGUAAGUUCCGACCCGCACGAAAGGCGUAACGAUCUGGGCGCUGUCUCGGAGAGAGGCUCGGCGAAAUAGAAUUGUCUGUGAAGAUGCGGACUACGUGCACCCGGACAGAAAGACCCUAUGAAGCUUUACUGUAGCUUGGUAUUGUGCUCGGGCUCGGAAUGCGCAGGAUAGGUGGGAGGCUUUGAUCCAUUGCUUGCGGGUGAUGGUGAGCCACUGGUGAGAUACCACUCUUUCCGAGCUAGAGUUCUAACAGCAACCCGUUAUCCGGGUGCUGGACAGUAUCAGGUGGGCAGUUUGACUGGGGCGGUCGCCUCCUAAAAGGUAACGGAGGCGCGCAAAGGUCUGCUCAGGCUGGUUGGAAAUCAGCCGACGAGUGUAAAAGCAGAAGCAGGCUUGACUGUGAGACCUACAAGUCGAACAGGGAGGAAACUCGGCUUUAGUGAUCCGACGGUUCUGCGUGGAAGGGCCGUCGCUCAACGGAUAAAAGUUACUCUAGGAUAACAGGCUGAUCUCCCCCAAGAGUUCACAUCGACGGGGAGGUUUGGCACCUCGAUGUCGGCUCAUCGCAACCUGGGGCUGAAGUCGGUCCCAAGGGUUGGGCUGUUCGCCCAUUAAAGCGGUACGCGAGCUGGGUUCAGAACGUCGUGAGACAGUUCGGUCCAUAUCCGGUGCACGCGCAGGAAUAUUGAGAGGAUUUCUCCCUAGUACGAGAGGACCGGGAGGAACGCACCUCUGGUGUGCCAGUUAUCGUGCCAACGGUAAACGCUGGGUAGCCAUGUGCGGAGUGGAUAACCGCUGAAAGCAUCUAAGUGGGAAGCCCACCUCAAGAUGAGUAUUCCCAUGGCAUAAGCCAGUAAGGUCACGGGAAGAACACCCGUUGAUAGGCUCUACGUGGAAGCGCAGUAAUGUGUGAAGCGGAGGAGUACUAAUAGCCCGAGGGCUUGACC